AUGUCACUCUUGACCACAGCCACUUUCAUGGCCCUUGCCUGCUUGUGCUUCGCCCCUGCACCUGCAGUGGGUGCAGCGGCGACUCUCUCGGCGUGGCGUCCGCUGCGAGGCAACCACACGAUGGUCUCGGCACAGGGCAAGUUCGAGCUCGCUCUGUUCAGCCCUGCUGGCAGCUCCGGAGACAGGUUCUACCUCGGGAUCUGGUACAAGAAAAUCCCCGGCCAGACCAUCAUCUGGGUGGGCAACCGCGCGAGUCCGCUAUCUGCUGUCACCUCCGCCGAGUUCCGUGUCUCCGCUGACGACGGCAACCUCGAGCUCGUCGGCCCCGCCGCCGCCUCCACCUCGCCGGUCGUCGUGUGGUCUUCGAACCUGUCGUUUGCCUUGUGGCCGGGCUCAAACAACAUGGCGGAGAUCCACGACAACGACAACCUGGUCCUUGUCGACGGCCGCAACUCCUCCAACGUGCUGUGGCAGAGCUUCGACCACCCGACGGACACGCUGGUGCCGGAAGCGUGGAUCGGGGAAAACAAGCUCACCGGCGAGUACCAGGCGCUCACAUCGUGGCGGAACGCCCAAGACCCCGCGCCGGGGAUCUUCAGUGAGACGCUGGACCCGAAAGGCGCUAGCGAGGUCUUCUACAUGUGGAACCGGUCCCGCGUGUACUGGCGGACCGGCGUUUGGACCGGCCAAGCCUUCGCGAAGCUGCCGGAGGCGACCAAAAACACCAUCUACAAUGGGACGUACGUCGAGACGCCGGCAUACCGGCGCGUCAUCAACGUGCUCUACGACAAUGCAACCAUAACACGCAGCGUGCUCGAUCCCACCGGUCAGGCACAAAUGUACAUUUGGAUGCCCACGAGCCGGAGCUGGCAGCUCUUGUGGACCGGUCCCAUGUUGCAGUGCGACGUGUACGCGGUCUGCGGCGCAUUCGGCGUUUGCGACGAGGGAGGCAAGCUACCUUGCCACUGUCCGCCCGGAUUUGUCCCGGUGACGGAGGGGGACUGGACGCUCAACGAUUGGAGCGGUGGGUGCUGCCGGAGCUCACCGCUCAGGUGCGCGCACAACGGAUCAAGGACGGGCGGGUUCGUGAUGCUGCCAGACAUGAAACUUCCACAUGACUCGCUCACCGUGGGCGUUGCCCAGAGCAAAGUAGAGUGCGAAUCGGCUUGCUUAAAGAGCUGCUCUUGCCAGGCCUACGCCUUCUCUGCCGGGGAGUGCAUCGUCUGGUACGGAGAGCUCCGCAAGCUUCAGCAGCUCUACUUGGAAUUGGAAUAUGACAGCCCCGGGUCUAACCUAUACCUUCGGCUUUCAGAAAGAGGAUUGCAAGAUCUCCAUAGCGUAGACAGGGAGAAAAUGGGAAGAAAGUUAUGGUUUGUCCUUGGCAUCAUAUUGGCUGGUGUUGUAGCAGUGGGGGCAUCGGUGUUACUAGGCUGGAGGAUUGUUCGUACCCGAAGGAGACUAGUCAGUAUGGCAAAUGAGAAUGUAUCCUCCUUGGCCGUGUACAGUUACGGCGACCUCCAUGCCGCCACGAAGGACUUCUCGGAGCGGCUGGGCCGCGGUAGCUUCGGCUCGGUGUACCGCGGUGUUCUGAACCGGCAUAAGGGAGACAACUCAAUCAGAGUCCAGGUGGCAGUGAAGAAGCUUGAAAGUCUUGGGCGGCAAGGCGACAAGCAAUUCCGGACGGAGGUGAGCACACUGGGCUGUAUCCAGCACGUGAACCUCGUACGGCUCCUCGGGUUCUGCUCGUCGGACGACGAUAAGAUGCUUGUCUACGCCCAGAGGCUCCCUCGACGGCCUCCUCUUCCGUGA
Molecule: ribosomal RNA, 1809 nt
Filed under: Triticum aestivum (bread wheat)
Lineage: Eukaryota; Viridiplantae; Streptophyta; Magnoliopsida; Poales; Poaceae
Description: partial small subunit ribosomal RNA
Source: RNAcentral